RNAcentral lists this ribosomal RNA (231 nucleotides) under uncultured bacterium. Its description in RNAcentral is "partial 16S ribosomal RNA". It matches the Rfam family "Bacterial small subunit ribosomal RNA", at positions 524 to 752 of the family's 1533-position model. The record is from RNAcentral.
UACGGAGGGUGCAAGCGUUGCUCGGAAUUAUUGGGCGUAAAGGGCAGGUAGGUGGUCCGAUUUGUCAGGGGUGAAAGCCUUGGGCUUAACUCAAGAAGUGCCCCUGAAACGGUCGGACUAGAGUGCUGGAGAGGUUAGUGGAAUUCCCGGUGUAGCGGUGAAAUGCGUAGAGAUCGGGGAGGAACACCAGAGGCGAAGGCGGCUGAACUGGACAGUGACUGACACUCAACU